RNAcentral lists this unclassified non-coding RNA (353 nucleotides) under soil metagenome. RNAcentral's name for it is "partial contains 5.8S ribosomal RNA, internal transcribed spacer 2, and large subunit ribosomal RNA". The stretch from base 1 to 120 matches the Rfam family "5.8S ribosomal RNA", at positions 35 to 154 of the family's 154-position model. The record is from RNAcentral.
GAUGAAGAACGUAGCGAAAUGCGAUAAGUAAUGUGAAUUGCAGAAUUCAGCGAAUCAUCGAAUCUUUGAACGCACAUUGCGCCCGCCAGUAUUCUGGCGGGCAUGCCUGUUCGAGCGUCAUUACAACCCUCAGGCCCCCGGGCCUGGCGUUGGGGAUCGGCGGAAGCCCCCUGCGGGCACAACGCCGUCCCCCAAAUACAGUGGCGGUCCCGCCGCAGCUUCCAUUGCGUAGUAGCUAACACCUCGCAACUGGAGAGCGGCGCGGCCACGCCGUAAAACACCCAACUUCUGAAUGUUGACCUCGAAUCAGGUAGGAAUACCCGCUGAACUUAAGCAUAUCAAUAAGCGGAGGA